Molecule: ribosomal RNA, 116 nt
Filed under: Fusarium fujikuroi
Lineage: Eukaryota; Fungi; Ascomycota; Sordariomycetes; Hypocreales; Nectriaceae
Also listed under: 3 other names
Source: RNAcentral
ACGACCAUACCUGCAGUAGAAUACGGGAUCCCGUCCGCUCUCCCAUAGUCAAGCCUGCAAGGGGCGGAUUAGUAGUUGGGUCGGUGACGACCAGCGAAUCCCCGCUGUUGUAUGUC